RNAcentral lists this ribosomal RNA (253 nucleotides) under uncultured bacterium. RNAcentral's name for it is "partial 16S ribosomal RNA". It matches the Rfam family "Bacterial small subunit ribosomal RNA", at positions 524 to 776 of the family's 1533-position model. The record is from RNAcentral.
UACGGAGGAUGCAAGCGUUAUCCGGAAUUAUUGGGCGUAAAGCGUCCGUAGGUGGCUGAUCAAGUCUGCUGUCAAAGCGUGGAGCUUAACUCCAUAACGGCAGUGGAAACUGAUGAGCUAGAGUGCGAUAGGGGUAGCAGGAAUUCCCAGUGUAGCGGUGAAAUGCGUAGAUAUCGGGAGGAACACCAGCGGCGAAGGCGACUAUCUGGGGUGCAACUGACGCUGAGGCGCGAAGGCUAGGGUAGCAAACAGG